This 529-nucleotide transfer RNA is filed under the name uncultured Prochlorococcus sp. Its description in RNAcentral is "partial 16S-23S ribosomal RNA intergenic spacer". The stretch from base 210 to 282 matches the Rfam family "tRNA". The record is from RNAcentral. Lineage: Bacteria; Bacillati; Cyanobacteriota; Cyanophyceae; Synechococcales; Prochlorococcaceae.
CAGGGAGACAACAAAAUGUUAAAUAUUAAUUUUGUCACCUUAGGUCGAUCGGUAUCUCACAUUCUUAAUUUAUUGAGAAUUUUAUUUCCUAAGUUUUUUCUAGGUCACACCCAUUAUUUUCCUGGGCCAUUAGCUCAGGUGGUUAGAGCGCACCCCUGAUAAGGGUGAGGUCCCUGGUUCAAGUCCAGGAUGGCCCAUAUCUCUAUGUUGGGGGUAUAGCUCAGUUGGUAGAGCGCCUGCUUUGCAAGCAGGAUGUCAGCGGUUCGAGUCCGCUUACCUCCACUGAUUACCACCUCUUCCAUAAUUUUAUAGAAGGGAGAAUGUUUGAGGUGUGAUCAAAUUCUGAACGAAUCUAGCUUCCUAAUUUAUUUUUAUUAAGAUGCUGGACUCAUUGAAUUAAUUUCAUUGUUUUCAGAGAACCUUGACAACUGCAUAGAUUAUUUUUAAAGACAAUAAGCAUCUUUAAUGAUGCAGAUUUAUUAUUUGUGCAAAUGCAUUAAUAACAAUUCUAUUUAAGCUGAUGCUUCAU